Non-coding RNA from Rattus norvegicus (Norway rat), 9540 nucleotides. Lineage: Eukaryota; Metazoa; Chordata; Mammalia; Rodentia; Muridae. The record is from RefSeq and is a predicted model, not a curated record.
UAGCUAUUCAAUCUGAAUAUGGAUGAAUAGAAUUCACUGUAAUGAAGAAAAACUGCUAAUACCUUAGCUGUCUGCUAGGCUAAAUAAAUCAUGAUGCUUGCAUAAGACAUGCUAUAGUAUAGCCAUGAGUAAUUUUACAAAAUUAUACUUAUUCCUGUAUAUGGACAUUUGAUAUUUUAGCUCAUGGAAAGUAAGUAAAAACAAAAUUUAUGUACAAUAUAUUACAAAUUUAUAAAAACUGGGCGUGCACUCAAUACCCACAAGUCAUCUCAAAUGUCAACAGCAGAAAUUCAGUGAGUAUUUUUUAUUUUCUUAUUUCUGCAAUUAUCAUGUGUCUUGAACCUAGAUUUUUGUAAGAAAAGGUAUUUUAGAGAUAAUUAUAUGCUGUCUAAAUAGUUUAAAAAAUCAGAAGUGGGUAAAUUAUUUUGUUUCCCCCCAAUAUUUCAUUGUUUGUCUAGGAUUUGUUCAUUUACACAUGACAGAAGUGUUCUGGACAGACAGACGUGAGUUUAGUAAUACAAGGGCUACAGAUCUGAAAACCGAGCCUGCCUCAAGCACAUCCUAAUGACUGCACACAGGUCUGUCUAUACACUCCAGGGUAUCACAAAUACUGACUUGGGACACCAAAAUGAACUUUGCAAAACAGAUUUUGGAAAACUGGGGAAAAAAUGGUUCCUAAAUACAACGUGGUAGUCACGUAUGAUAGCUUGCAGUUGUAAUACCACCAGUACUUAAGAGUUUGAGGCUAGAAGAUUGCCUUAAGUUUGACGUUUGAGACCAGUCUGGGAUAUGCAGUAAUUUCUAGCUUAGCGUGAGCUACAGAGCAAUAUACCGUCUAACAUAACAAAUACAGCUUUCUUCCACUGAGCCAGUACCAAGCAUUGGUACUUGGAGUGACACAGCCUUUUUUUGUUUAAUGAGCCUUAGGAAAAUGUGCAUGAAGGGAGGAUGGCACAGAGAAGGAACUGAGGGGGGUGGUGGUGUCUAGGGACAAUAGGUAUUGAUGAGUGAGGUAGAGGAGAGGAUGGAAGUGGUUCGUUUCUGGAAUUUCUCACUUGUAGUCUAAUAUGGACUUAGAGAGCAAGAAAGCAAAUGUAGCCAGCAUGGGCUUCUCAGUUUCUUACUAAGGAAGCUAGAUGCCUAUGACAUAUUUGAUGAAUUAGAUAAAUAGGCCAACAAGAGAAGGACAGUGGCUGGACAGGCUGCAUUUCAGUUCCCUGUGCAUGGGCCAGAGUGUGCUGGUAGGACUUGGGGGUCUGAUCCCUUAACCCAGGCAUGUCUAAGAUGAUGGCCAAAGAGGCUUAACUAAUAGAAAUGGAUAUAAUGAGACCAGGAAUGAGAGACAUGAGGAAUUAACUGACGAUCAUGGAUCAAAAGGAAGCCAGUACCAGAACAGUGGUUCCAAGUAUGCCUUUCAAACAACAGUGGCUCCAAGCUGGAGGCAAGAAGCAGAGAUCAAAAUCAAAUGGCAAAGGAAUAAAAGAAGCCAGAGAGGAGGUGACAAUGAGCCCAACAGAGCAGAAUGUCCAGUGUUCUGCUCCUCGUGUUCAGUUAGUGACUUACAAGACCCAGACAGUUCUAAGGAUGAGCAUGGGGAGCUUCUACUAACCAAGCCAGCCCUUCCGACUUAAAAGAUCAAAUUGGGCUUGCUUGUCACUGUGGCACUUGCAGCUCAUACUGAAGCUGGGACAAUUUCAUGUCAAAAUGUUGAAUGUCUGUCUACAUGGAGAGGACUAGAAAGGGAAGGGUCAGGAGAUGGAUCAUGUCAAAUUCAGGGAAAGGUUUUCUCUGCUUGGCCAUUCAUUUUAUUUUUGCCUGGUCUGAUAGGAAUGUGAUAGCCAUUGAAUUUUGGUUCUAUUCCCUCAACUCUCGGUCUUAGGGUUUUAUUGCUGUGAAGAGGCACCAUGACCAAGGCAACUCUUAUAAAGGCAAACAUUUAAUUCGAGGCUGACUUACAGUUUCAGAGGUUCAGUCCAUUAUCAUCAAGGCAGGAAGCUUGGCAAUGUGUAGGCAGACACACAUCGAGGAGCUGAGAGUUCCACAUCAUGAUCUGUAGGCAGCAGAAGUGAACUGUUUUUCACAUUAGGUGGAGCUUGAGCAUUGAAGACCUCAAAGCCUGCCCCCACAAAGACACACUUCCUACAACGAGGCCACACAUACUCCAAAAAGAAAAAUCACACCUCCUAAUAGUGCCAUUCCCUAUAGGACAAGCAUUCAAACACAUGGGGCUAAGGGGGUCAUACCUACUCAAACCACUACAUCAACCUUCCAUGUAUUUACUUACUCUAUGGAUAUUUGAAAACCAAACACUGGAUUGGCCACUCAGGAUUCAGCAACAAGGAGCACAGAAGUAAUGACUCCCUCAAGGAAUGAUGGAGAUUAGUAACACUGUCUGGACUUUGGGAGCACUUUUCUGAAGAGCAUAACACUUAAGCCAAACACUGCAAGGAAAGGGAAUGCCUUUGUAAAUUGUACUAAGUGUUUCAUUUGUAUCCACAGGCUUAUUCACAGUGGUCACUUCCCAAAGGUGAAGUUACCAAGUAGCGAUGGAUUCUUCCAUGUGUGGACAAUGGCUAGGAUAUGGUAUAUGACACCUCAUGUUGGUUUCUGGAGUGAGACUCCAUUCUUACAAUUGUGAUUGUUAAAACUGUGAGGGUCAUAGUAGCUAUGUGAAUUCUAAAUCUAAGGGUUAAAAUCUGAGUUCCAUACAGUCAAAGAGAAAGUGAAGCGUAGUUAAGUGCACCAUGCUGAGUAUUGCAAGGCAAGUCAUACCAAAGCAAUCAGGACAGCCUAGGGCACACCAGCUCCAAACCUCAAUGGCUUGUCAUGACCGAGUUUGUUUCUUAUCUCAUAAGUAGGCUGCAGGCUGAGCAGCUCUCUAGGACAAUACGCUAUAGGGACCGGGAAGUCUAGCAGGCUUUUGAUGUGUAAUUGUGUCACGGUAAGGCUACCAUGUUGGCUGUAAAGGGAGAGAGAUCAGUUGAAAAAGACACUGUUGCUGACAACUCGUUGGCUAAGAGUAGUUCAAUAACUAUGCAUAGCUACAAGAGGCCCCAAAUUGUAGUGUUUCCUGGGGGAUCACCAUUUGUGACACAUGUACGAGGUACUCAAACUUCUAAGGCUGAAUUUCCAAAGAAUUCUCUUUUGUUUGGUUGUUUGUUUUUCUGAGACAGGGUCUCACUAUGUAGCUCUGGCUGUCCUGGAACUCCUUCUGUAGACCAGGCUGGCCUUGCAUUCACAGAGAUUUUGCCCUACCUGUGCCUCUCAAGGCCUGGACCUAAAGGUGUACAUCACUGUGUCUGGUUAAAGAACUCUUUUAUAUGGAACUUUAUUCAUGUAGGAUAACCAAGGUAUAAACUUGGUGUUGAGUGAAUUCAAAGGAAGAGCUCUUGGCUUAGUGACAUAGAGGGGUUUGAGUGGAGGAAGCUGGACACAAAGAGAGACUUGCAGGAUAAUGAGGACUUAGGAAGAAGGAAUAGCAGACCUAUUCUAUUAUAGGGACAUCGACUGCUGUGGAUCACCUGGUGCCUCAAGGGACCUGUUGGGAAAGCGGGUAUGGUAGUCAUACUGCAGGGGUCACAGGGAUUUUCUUUUUUUUUUUUUUUAGCUCAGUAAGUCUUUGGGACCAGAACAUUCCUGCCGCUGUCACUGGUAAGUCUUCUAUUUAGUGGAGCUGCUGAAAAGGCUUUUGAAAAAUCUUUAAUCAUGCUUUGAAGGAUUAUAAACACACAAAACUCAUAGCUCUGUUUCCCACACCUUUCAGAUGCAUACCUGAGCCAUAAGAUCUGAAGCCUUAAAUACUUCCUGGGGGUGCGGAGAAAUAAGGAAGUGAAUAAAAGCAAACUUUUCAAUCAGCUCAUCUCCGAGCGUUUAUCGUGACUUCUUGGCUUUUGGAAACAUUUAUUUCAGUUAUAUUAAAAAUUUUUUUCCUAAAAUUCUCAGCUGAAAAUUUUGCUUCUGUUUUUUUUUUUCCUUUCUCUCUCUCUUUUUUUUUCUUUCCUCCUACAAAGCUAACUCACCUGAUUUGUCAGAACAGCUUGAAAAUGAAGUGCUAACUGGUGGGUUUUAUUGAAAGGAAACCGAGUGGAACAACAUAUGUAUUUUCUUAGGGAACUCAAAAAGCUCACAGUCAUGUGGCGUUCCUUGGGGUGAAUUCUUUGUUAUGAAUUACAGUCUGCUCACUGAUGAGUUGUUAGUAAAAACGUAGGCCUGCCGGGCCAUUAUUUUUUUCCACACAGUACACACAGUUCAGUUUCCCCCCCUUUUUUUUUAAAGUUUUCAUUAAUGCACCGAGUGUGAAAUAAAUCUGUUUCUAAUUUGUCAUUGUUUUCCCUUCAUCUGGACAAUAAUUUAUUGCCAAAUCUAACACUUGUCCAUUAUUAACAUCCCUCUACCGGGGACGUGUUUUAAUUUUUCUUCCUUUCUUUUAUUUUUCUUACUUUCUUCUCCUCUUCGACUCCCCCUUGCCCACCAUCCCUAUUGUUAAGACUGGAAGAAGCGAAAAGUUACAGCAUGGCAGGGAUUUUGUUUAUGGGUGUGACAUCCGAGUCUGAGUUUGAGGGAUGCUGGGGGUAACUGGUGGGCACGUUGUGUGGAAGGAAGGGAAGCCAGCUGGAGUUGUUCGGAGCUGAGAAAACAGGCUCAGGGAAAACUGUUGAGGAAAACUAGAACCAGAUGGUAACCUGAGGUGCAGGACAACUUUAUUUAGCAUGGCAGUCUUUAUUUAUUUAUUUAUUUUACACACACAUCUGGUCACACUGGGGAGCCUCUAUGCACACUUGUUAUUAUGCUGUUAAUAGUAUAUUUGAUUUGCCAAGGAAUAUUAGCAAUUACGUUCACUAUGUAUCCGAGUAUAUUCAUAUUUUUAGUGGGCCUUUGUGAGGCAUGCUAGUGGUUAAGGCUUUAUGUGGGAAGGGCAGAGGAAUUGCUGUUUGAAGUUCUAGUGGUGUGGAAAAUGUGUCCAUCAAUUAAGGAUUUUAAAGAGGCUGAACCCCCCCAAGAACAUGCCAAAAUGUUGAUGAUAAAUAGCCAGCGGUGUGCUGCCAAUGCAUUCUUGAUUUCAGAAAUAGUCUAGAUUGUCACGGUGCACCCUCCAUGGGCUCAUUCAAGAUGAAGCCAUCUUGAUUUCUCUUGAAGUAAUGAGAAUGAAUAUAAGGAUGGGUUUGGACAUUUAACUUGUUAGCUCAUAUCUACCUUAUCCCUCAAAAUCUAAAACAAAUCUUAAAUUGGUGUGUAGAUAAGAUACAGUUUGUGACGGAAGUGAUAUUUUGAAAAAGAAAAAAAAACCUUUAUCACUUUCUUAUUUUACCAUCCAUUUCUUCAUUCUGAGUUUUGCCUUGAUGUGAUUACAGAAGUAUGUCAUUACAGAAGUAAUUCUCAAGACUUUAUUUGUAAGGUAAGGUAAGUGGGCUCUUACCUUACACUUAGUUGAUUUUGCAGAAUUGUGAGGUAAACCUCAAAUGAUCCUCUAGAAAUCUGAAUUGUCUUAUCUUCACUACCAGAGUUGGUUUCCCCAACCACUGGAGGCCCUUUAUGCAGAGAAACAUCAGCUGCUCUAAACACAUUGCUUGUCCUGACACUUGCAUUCCCUGACAAGGAAGACAGUGUGUAAGAAUGAGGUAUUAGGGCCAGGCCUUCCAGAUACAGCCUCACUGACCUAAGAGUCCCAGACCCUAAAACAGAGGAGAACUGCAAUGUGUCUCUGUGUGUAUAUGUGAAAAGGCAGGCUGUCUCAAGCCUAUUCUGCUGACAAGGAAGGGGACAUUGUCUAGAUAGCCUGUGCCUUUCAGAAAAUAGAGCAUCAUGAUAUUACACAGCAGAACAGAGACUAUUUGCAUCUGAAUUUUAGGGAUAUGAUUUCCGUUGUGGAGCUGGGAGUCAGCUGUAAGUAGGACAUGCCUGGCCACAGAACCUGGGACUGACUGUCCUUAUUAUGCAGCCUGGCCAUAGUGGUGUCACAGGAGGGGACCCUUGUUGGCUUCCUUUUGGACAGUAGAGGGUAGAAUGAGAGAGAACAAAAAAUACACAGCAUAGGAAGUUUGAUGCUAAAAUGUCACCCAAUGUCUUGUUUUCUCUCCAGAACUAGAGAUAUGUACAGAAAAAAAUUCCCUUUUUCAAUUCAGUCAAUAACUACUGAGGACCUACUAUGUGCCAGGUAGCCUCAGUUGCUCUCCUCCUUGGAGACUGUAGUUAUGCAUUAAAAGAAAUCUCGUGUUAUGGCCAACAGGUCACUCUCAUUUCAAGAAAGGGACUCUACAACUUAAGGAUUCCCAAGCCACUCUGAAGGCUGAGAAGCAGAGCUUCAGGCUUUGGGAUUGGUCUGACAGGUUGAAGUCCCAAUUCCCAGUUUGAAGAACAGGGAUGUUAAAGGAUGCGAUCUGGGUUAAAUGAGGUCACUGGGCUGAACUAAUCCAAUACAAGUGAGAUCAGAAGAGUUCCGGGUGCAGGCAAACAAAGAAAUGGCUGUGUGAUGACAUGAUGUCCUUAGUGUUGGGUUUCACUGAGAAGUCUUCAGCUGUGAGGGUGACUGAAGAGUUCCCCAGAGAUUUGCAUUUGCUCCUUCAGAGGGUAGCACUCCCUGGCACCACAGGCCAGCAGAAUGCUGAAGUUUCAAACCUCCGAGUGAACUUGGCAUCGCUCACCUCAGUCUCAGAUACAGCAGAGAUGGGAGUGGGGACCAUCUCAACCGAAAGUGAAUGCAAAUUACCCCGAGACUUAACUGCUCCAGAUGGAACCCACAGGAGGCCCUUAGCAUGGACCGGUCCCAGAGGCUGCUGGCCAAAUGCAAGGAAUCCCAGCGCUUGAGCACAGUCCUUGGAGAGCACUUGAGCACAAAUUAUUUUUAUGACCACAAGUAAUGAUUGAGUUAGAGGCAUUAGAACAUUUAAAGUGAUAUUCACAUGUAAAAAUCUCCAACCAUGUAUCUCUAAAGAAAAUAAGGUUGGAGUAAAGCAAACCACAUUUUGUUUAUCACAAAAAUUUUAACAGCAGACUUAUCAGCCAAUUGUUGGAGAAGUGAAAUAGUCUUUAGUGGUAAUUUUUGUCCUGACCAUUGACUUUCUCUCAAUAGUAGAGCAGGCUUCAAAGUGUUAGUGUGUUAUUUACUAUAGAGUGGUCAAGGGUGCUCUGAGGAGGUCUAAGGAUGCCCUGGAGUCUACACAAUGUAUGCCUGUCACUGUUCCUGAGGCAGAGCUCACGGCAUUCAUGAUACCAUCAGGAGCGCCCAGGCAUCUCUUACUUCUCUCAAAAUGUUUUCAUCAUGACUCUCUUCUGCCUUUGUCGUACUUGCUGGUUCACCUUCUUUCUCUAACUGUUCAUUGAAUUUUGGCUUGGACUACCCUUCCUAAGGAUACACUUCUGCUGAUUUAAAUGCUAUUUCUCCUGCUUCAUGCAAGGAGAAUAAGGGACCAGGAUACUUCAGUUGAUGCUAUAAGAUAUUGAACUACAUUGAAAAAAUAGUUCAUUUAUUCUUUGGCUUACAAAACACUUCAGGAUUUUUGUAUCGAAUUGAAGUUUCAUUCAUUUUCAUUCCCCAAAACAGUAAACAAGGGGUUACUGUGAAGUUUCUUUUUUCUUUCAUUCUUCCUUCUCCUCCUCCUCUCCCUCCUCCUUUCCUUUUCCCCCUCUUCCUCUUCCUCUUCCUCUUCUGCUUCUUCUUCCUCCUCCUCCUCCAAAGGCUGAUGAUUGAACUUGGAGGCUUCCACUUUUAUAUCCUGGGGAAACAUUCUACUGCCAAGCCAUGUUCCUAGCUGUGGAGUUUGGUUGCCUUUGUGAAGUACAGUGAGUGGAAUUAAAGGAGCUUCCAGUGUCGAAAAGAAACGACUUCCAUCCUGUGUGUGUCUCGCCAAUACAGUUACAUCUCUAAUUUUAGGAAGACUGAGAUAAUUCUACAUAUGCGUUUUCUCUAGGUCCAUAGAUGCUCAGUAUUCACAAGGAUGCUCUUCUUGAAUUCAGGGAUGGUGGGAUUUCAGGUGCUUGUCUUACUUUUAGAACUACCUGAUAACAUUUUUAUAUAUUCCAGUGGGAGAUACCAAGGUACACAAACAAUAUGGCACAAGUGUAGAUCUGGUGUAUUAGAAACACACAAGAUAUGUGGAAAAUAGGAUGAUAUGGAAUAUGAGGAAACAGAGUGGUGAUAAGGACAGAUCUACUGGCUACAUCGCAGUGAGUAAGCAUUGACUAAGUGUGUCAGCUAAGUGCAGUGUGAUGGAGACUUCCCCUCACUUAUGAAGAUGAGAUCAUCUAAGGAACAGGGAUGAUAUAUUCAGUUGUCAGAAAGACAAUGCUAGAUUUCUAUCAGAAGAUGCUGGGCCAGAGAGAUGGCUCAGAGGUUAGAAGUGCUGCCUGUUUUCCCAGAGGUCCUGGGUUCAAUUGCCAGCAACCAAUCACUUGGUGGCUCACGACCAUCUGUAAUAAAAUCUGGUGUUGAGGCAUAUGUGUAAGCAGAACACUAUAUACAUAGUAAAUAAAGUUUUUUUUGUUUCAUUUUGUUUUUUGUUUUUGUUUGUUUUUUUUUUUGAAAAGAAAAGAAAGAAGAUGCCAUCUGUGUGGAAUAGAGCCAGAAAAAAAAAUCCAUUAAAUACAGACUGAGUGCUUGACAACAUCCUCGGAAUGUGCAGACAAGCCCACAGCUAUGAAGUUAUGAAGAGUCUUGCUUUCUUUACCUUCUGAACAUUGCUAUGUCUGGUCUUUGAGUGAUAUAUGUGGACACAUUAAGGUUUGUGGAGCUGUAGCAACAGAGGAUUGACUAUUUCCCCUUGAUUCUUCCAGAUACCCAAAAGGAAGUCUUUACAUAGGACAACUGUGGUCAGCCUGGAGCAUAGACACAGGGUGGGAUUCAGAGCUUGAGAUAACAGUGCAGAGAGAUUCUUAGGACACAGGCAGGGAUGGUUUCUUUUCCCUUAGGGUGUUCAGUGGCCCAUCUACACAAGAGAGCAGUUCGAGAGUUCUCUCCUUCUCUGGGUCUCUCUCCUCUCUCUCUGUCUGUUUCUGUGAAUUGCAUAACAGAGUAGGUACUAGUCAAUAACAGAAAUGUGCAUCUGGGAGAUUUUGCCUCCCCGUCCACAUUUCCAUACAAGUCUCUGAAUUUAAUCCUCUCCUCUCCUUACUCAUGUUGUUCUCUUUCCACUUAAUUCAGUUAAUGGCUUUGGCUUGUAUUUGCUUUUCAAUACAUUUCUCCCCUUUGAAUCCCUCCUCCUGAUCACCGUCUAUUUCUCUUUAGUUUCUUGUUUCUCUUCUUUAACCACGUUUUCCAAACUCCCUCUCAUUUAUUCAGUGAAGCCAGUUUUAAUAAUAUUUUCUGUCAUUUCAUUCAUGCAGAAUCUUUUUUAAUGCAAUGAAGAGAGCUGAGAGUUCUACUUUAUAAAUCCCUCUCCACAGAGUAACCAGGAUUGCCAGCGAAGAAGUCGAAAACAAAGUGCAGUUUGAUUGAUGGGUAGGAUUCAGGCUGUAGGGAAACUGCGCUGUGUAAAGUGUGGGGCUGAAAGCAAUGUGUUUAUGCAUACACAAGUUUUAAUAAAUAUUCCUACCACAUCUUAAAAA